RNAcentral lists this unclassified non-coding RNA (406 nucleotides) under soil metagenome. RNAcentral describes it as "partial contains 5.8S ribosomal RNA, internal transcribed spacer 2, and large subunit ribosomal RNA". The stretch from base 1 to 121 matches the Rfam family "5.8S ribosomal RNA", at positions 35 to 154 of the family's 154-position model. The record is from RNAcentral.
GAUGAAGAACGUAGCGAAAUGCGAUAAGUAAUGUGAAUUGCAGAAUUCAGUGAAUCAUCGAAUCUUUGAACGCACCUUGCGCCCUUUGGCCAUUCCGAAGGGCAUGCCUGUUUGAGUAUCAUGAACACCUCAACUCUUCAUGGUUUUCCAUGAUGAGCUUGGACUUUGGGGGUCUUGGUGGCCUGUGGGUCGGCUCCUCUCAAAUGGAUCAGCUUGCCGGUUUUUGGUGGGCAUCACAGGUGUGAUAACUAUCUACGCUUGUGGUUUUCCACCAGGGUAACCUUCAGCAGUGGAGGUUCACUGGAGCUUACAAAUGUCUCUCCUCUGUGAGGACAGCCCUUUGAAUGUUUGAUCUCAAAUCAGGUAGGACUACCCGCUGAACUUAAGCAUAUCAAUAAGCGGAGGA